UGCCAGCAGCCGCGGUAAUACGGAGGAUCCAAGCGUUAUCCGGAUUUAUUGGGUUUAAAGGGUGCGUGGGUGGCUUCAUAAGUCAGUGGUUAAAUACGAUAGCUCAACUAUCGAAGUGCCAUUGAAACUGUAGAGCUAGAGAAUGGUUGCAGCAGGCGGAAUGUGUAGUGUAGCGGUGAAAUGCUUAGAUAUUACACAGAACACCGAUUGCGAAGGCAGCUUGCUAAGCCAUUUCUGACACUGAUGCACGAAAGCGUGGGGAGCGAACAGGAUUAGAUA
Molecule: ribosomal RNA, 279 nt
Filed under: uncultured bacterium
Lineage: Bacteria
Description: partial 16S ribosomal RNA
Rfam family: Bacterial small subunit ribosomal RNA
Source: RNAcentral